Long non-coding RNA from Orcinus orca (killer whale), 8773 nucleotides. RefSeq lists it as uncharacterized. The record is from RefSeq and is a predicted model, not a curated record. NCBI's taxonomy places the organism in Eukaryota, Metazoa, Chordata, Mammalia, Artiodactyla, Delphinidae. The transcript has 3 exons.
GCGGCCGCCGCGGGGCGUGCCGGGACUUGUAGUCGCGCGGCCCGGGCGCCGGCGGCCGCUGAUGUCAGGGGCUGGGCGGCCGCCCUAGGGGCCCGCCCGAUGCGCUGAGGGAAAAUGCUGGAGCGCGGGCCCCCACGGGCCCACGGGGAGGCGAAGGGCAGAAGCGGGGGCCUUUCGAGCCAGGCUGAGCCUGAGUGCAAGCUCUGUCCCUCAAGCUCAGGACUAGGCGCUUCUGGGCGCAAAGCGAGUCGCCCACAGAACUCGCGCGCUGGAGGAGACCUGAGUCUGGGAGGGGAGAGAUUUGGAGAAACCGCAUCUCAGCUCCACGAAGGCAGUGGUUUUUGUCUGUUCUCUGCUGUAUUCCCAGUGCCUGAAAUGUGGUUGGCAGGAAACUUUCGUUUUGGCCACACGUGAACGUGUGGGCACGCAGGCGUGUGUGUGCGUCUCUGUGUGUGCAUGCACUGGAUCUUUAUGCAAAGGUAUUUCUUUUUGUGCGUCUUGGUCAACAACAUUUGAGAACACUGGGCUUUCUAGUUAAUCAAGCUGGACUAUUGUAACAUUUGCAAAUUUAGACCACGUUGGUUGGAUUUAUAGAAUUGCUUUCAAUGAGCUAUAUCUGGUGCUUAAGAUUUCUGUGACACUGACACCUGAAAUGAAUGUUGGGAUGUUGAGGAAACUGACCUCUAGGUCGCCAAAUCCAGAGGAUGGUUUCAGGCUGGGGCUAGGGUGAGACAUUGACUCUGAAGGUCAUGCAAGUACUGGCGUGGCGUGUUCUCAUGGCAUUCACUCCUCUCUUGAUUCCUUCGCACUGUACUCUUCUGGUCCUAUCCUGGUUCUUCUGGUUUUCCCUCUUUGGUUUCUCCUCCGCCCAACCCUAAAAUGAGCAGAGGCCCACCUGGUGUUCCUUCCUAUAGUGUAUUUUUACAGCAAUGGCUGCCAGUGAAUCAUGCCUCCCGGUAAGCCAUCCCACACUGACUUUGGGUUUGGCCAUGUGAAUUUCUUUGGCCAGUGAAGUCUUACCUUGGUAGCACAUGUACUUGGUAAGUCCUGUGCAUUGAGACUCGCCCACUUGGAUACUCCCUUGAGGCCACUAUGCUGUAAAGAAGCCCAAGUGAAAGUUAACAUGGAAAGAGAGGCCCAAGUGUUCCCGCUGUUCCAGUUGAGCCCUGUCCCCUGCCGACAGCUGGCAUCAACCAGACAUGUGAGUCUUGGACCUUCUAGCUCACUGUCCAGAUGAAUGCAGCCCCAUGAAUGAGCCAGGUGAAAGCAGAAGAGGAACUACCCAACCAACCUAUAGAAGAAUAAUAAAUACAGAAAAAAAACAAAUACACAGGUUGUUCAAAGACCCUUGAACAACAUGGGUUUAAACUCCUCGGGUCCACUUAUACACCGUUUUUUUGACAGUGGAUAAUGCAGUGCUGCAAGAUCCAUGAUUGGUUGCAUCUGUGGUUGUGGAGCCGUGGAUAUGAAGGGCCAUCUGUAAAUUAUAAGCAGAUUUUCAACUGCAAGGAGGGUCAUCAUUCCUAAUCCCCUCCUCGCUCAAGGGUCAACUGUAGUUGUUUUUAGCCGCUAAGAUUUGGAAUGGUUUGUUAUGCAGAAAUACCUAGCUGAUACAUUCCCUCAACCCUCAUCUUCUCUCACUCUGUGGGUGGACUCAGUCUCUGGCUUCUAAUAUUUUGAGGGCCCGCAAAUUGACAGUUCUAGCUCAGAACAUGUUCCGGAGGCCCUGAUUCACAUAUCUAACUUCCUAGUCGUUGGUUACAUCCACCUAAAUGUUCACAGGCUUGACCAGCCCAACCUGUUCACACCUUACCUCAUCAUCUAACCCGCCCCAGCCCUUUUCCUCUUCCUCCUGUAGUCUCUGUCUUGGUUGAUGACAUCAUCGCCAAUCCCUAAAGUUACCAGCCUGAUAUGGCAUGUUGUGAUUUCCAAGAUGGUCGCAACAAGAUUUUUUAUUCUGCAUGCUCUCCUGGCAACAUGACAUUGAUCAUCAACCCAUUAGGAGGUGGCUCAAUGUUCCUGCCUCUUGAAUCUGAGCAGGCCUGUGACCACAGAGGAAACGACACCUGUGACUUCUGAAACUCAGUCAUAGCUGCUGAUCCUGUUUCCAUCUGGUCCUCUUGGGGUACUCACUCUCUGAACGCCUCUGUCAUGCUGUGAGGAAGCAUGGGCCACAUGGACAGAUCACAAGUGGAAAUUUGGUUUGGUUUGUUAGGGCUGCGUAACAAAGUAACACAGACUGGGGAAUUAAAAAACAGAAACUUAUUGUCUCACAAUUCCGGGAGCUAGAAGUUCAAGAUCCAGGUGUUGGCAGGGUUGGUUCCUUCUGAAACCCCUCUCCUUGGCUUGUAGAUGGCCACCUUCUCCCUGUGUCCUCACGUGGUCUUCCCUGUGUGUGUGUAUCAGUGUCCUAAUCUCCUUCUCUUAUGAGGACACCAGUAAUAAUGAUUAGAGCCCACCCUAAUGACCUCUUUUUAACUUAACUACCUCUUUAAAGACCCUAUUGCCAAAUACAAUCAUAUUCUGAGGCAGUGGGGGUUAGGACUUCAACAUAUGAAUUUUGAGGAGUGGUGGGCACAGUUUGGCCCAUAGCAGUAUUCCAGCCAGCAGCCCCAGCUGAGGUUUCAGUUGACAGCCAGCAUCACCAGACCUGGGAAGAAGCCUUCACCUGACACAAAUGAGAGACCCUGAGCAAAAGCCACCCAGCUGAGCCCAAUCAGCCUCUCAUGAGAGAUAAUAAUAAAAUAAUUAUUGUUGUUCUAAACCACUGCAUUUAAAUAGCAAUAGAUUAUUGGAAUAUUCUAGAAUCAACCUGGUUGGUGGUGGUGACGAGGGGCUGGGGGACAGGGGAGAGCUGACCUGGGAAUUAUCCUGGUCAGGAUAAUUGAUACCUCUUGCUUCCCCGCUCUGCCAUCUAAUCAGUCACCAAGUCUUAAUGAUUUUGUUUACUGCACACCUCUGUAAUCCAGCCUGUCUCUUCACCUUGACCAUCAUGUUCCCAUGUCCUAGAUUGUUACAGUGGCCUCCUAAUGUCCAUUCCAUCCUCCUCGUGUUGCCAAGGUAGCUGUUCUAUGCUGUGGCCCUACCACCUGUAACUCUUGCAGCGACCAUGGCUCUCUUAAGAAAACCAAGUUCGGAUCCUCCAUAGAUGGUCUUAAUGUGAAGGGAAGGAGGCUUCCUGGCUCCUAGACCCACCCUCUCCAAUAUGGUAGUCAUUGGACAAACAUGGCUAUUGAGCAUUUGAAAUGGAGCUAAUGCCAUGAGAAGCAGAAACUUUAAUUUUACUUCAUUUUAAUUAAUUUAAAAUUGAAAACUGAUACUCAAUUCAGUUAUUGGAAAACAUUCGAGUAUGUUUGGAAAGAACUGCCAGCUGUCCUGGUUUUCCUGGGACUGAGCUUUCAGGAUGUGGAACUGGGAGUUUUAAAACCAGGACUUGGGUAAACAGGGAUGAGUUGGUGACACUACUUUGAAACAACUUGGUUAUGGAAAUCUAUGAAACCCAAAUACAGAUCAAGUGUUGUGGAUGAGAAUUAAGCAUCUGAAUGGAGAUGUGCCGUAAAUGUCAAAUAUAUUCUGGCUUUCAAAGACUUGGUAUGAAAAAAAAAUGUAAAAUAUCUCAUUAAAAAUUUCAUAUAUUGAUUACAUGUUAAAACGAUAGUAUUUUGGAUAUUGGGUUAAAUAGAGUAUAUUAUUAAAAUUAAUUCCGUCUGUUUCUUCUUUACUUUUUAAAAUUUAAAGUCACGUAUAGCUUGCAUUAUAUUUUUAUUAGGCAGCCGUGCUCUGGAGCAGUGGUUCUUAAACUGUGGCUGGUGUCAGAAUCACAGGGGCACUUCGUAAAGAUGCUGAGGCCCAGGCCCUGUCCUGCUUUGAGGAGCCUGGGUCUCUGUUCUUCAUCAGGUCUCCAGGCCUCAAUCACCCUGCUGUGGUGGCGUAGUGUGUGGAAUGUAGAUGCCAGCAACCCCUUUCCUCUUAAGUCUGGGGUCUCUGGACCUAAGAAAACAAUGCCCAAGAACCGGCAGGACUUCUCUCUCUGCCUGGCUAAGGCCUAGCAUGGGUUUUACCAGCGUGGGCUGCUCAGAUGGCGUAGGAAUGGAAAAAGAAGAGAGGGAGGAGACGGCCAGGAGAACUAAGGGGCAUCUUUUUCUGGGACUCUGAUUCUUUCUGGAUCCUUCCCUAGUCCCUAGGUAAGCUGACCUCAAAUAUCUUUCCCUGGGUUUGACAAACAACACUGAGGGCCGUGGGGCAUCACUGAAAGUUCUGAGCAGGGAGGAGCCCGAUGAAAUGGACGCCCUGUUGGCCUAUUCUGAGGGAGCCUCAGCCACCUCCCUUUCUCACACUUUUCCACAGGACUGCAGGAAGAAGCGAUUCCUCAGAUUCUUUGCUAGAGAUGGCCCCUCCCACAUGCUCACCUGCACUCCCACAGGAAAGGAUUACUGGUCCCCAAAGUGCAGUGGGCUGAAUUACUAUACUAUAAACUGUCACAGCUUAAUCCCCGUCAGCCAUCAUCCUGGUCUCGGGCAGAGGCCCUUCCUUGGUGCUCCCAGGCCUGCCCAUCCUUGCCAGGAGCCCCCAGAGACCAGGUCCCAGCUCUCUGCUGCAAAUCCACACUUAGACACCAGGCGUCACUCAGCCCCACCAAGGGAGAGAGUGUGUGGUAUGGGAAACCAGUCAGCCAACCAACCAACCAACCAACAAACCAACCAACACUGCAUCCUAGAGAACCAGGCCUAGUCUGAAUUUGGCCUCUAUCCCAUUCAGUGCUGUGCAAAUUACAUCUUCCUCUGCUUUGGUUUCCUCAUCUGCAAAAUGGGCAUAAUGGUGCCUCUCUCAUAGGGCAUUCAUGUGUAGGCUCCAGCGCUGCUCCUGGCACUCAGUAGAUGCUCAGUAGAUAUUUGUUGAAUGAAUUAAUGAAUCAAUGUGUGGAUGGGCAGCUCUUUGGCAGUCUGUCCUCAAGGGCAGGCCCCCUCCGUGGUUUCUAUUCUACCCCUUCCCGGCUUGCGGCUCCCCGCAGUGAAGGAAGAAAGUAAGGAAAUGGGUGUGUCUAGGGCUUCUGCCUGCGUGUGCCUCAUUGCAUCUGAUUCCCUGGAGAGGUAGGGAUUCAUAUGCUCAUUUUACACAUGGGGAACUGAAGCUGGGGGAAGGUCAGGAGGAGAGGACCUGAGGACACAGCUUUUCUUGGGUCUCCCAAGGGCCUGCACCAGGGCUGAGAACACAGUGCUACUAAAGGAAGGCCCACGGGUUGAGUCAAUGCAUGAACAUCAGGCACCGUGAUGACACUGGGAGCCCCAUCCCCUUUGUUGUGACAUCCUUGGGCAGGGCUAGGGCAGGACAAGAGGCACCAGAGUCUGUCUUCUCUCUCUCUCUGUCUUGGAUUAUUUCCUUUCAUACCUUCCUCCUGCCUCCUCCCCUUCUACUCCUUAGCCUGUGCCCUUUCAGCAGUAUUUUCUCCUUUCUUUCCCUUUCUUCCUUCCUUUCUUCCUUUCUUUCUCUCUUUCUUCCUUCCUACCUUUCUCUUUCUUCCUUCCUCCCUUCCUUCCUUCCUUUCUUUCUCUUUCUUUCUUUCUUUUUGUUUCCUUCUUUCUUCCUUCCUUUCUUCCUUCCUUUCUUUCUUUCUUUCUUUCUUUCUUUCUUUCUUUCUUUCUUUCCUUCCUUCCUUCCUUCCUUCCUUUCUUCCUUUCCUUCUUCCUUUCUUCCUUCCUUCCUUUCUUUCUUCCUUUCUCCUUUCCUUUCCCAUCCCUUUCCUUUUCUUCCUUCUUUCAUUCUUCCUUACUCCCUGCUUCCCUCCUUCUCCCCCCACCCCCCUGACCUUUUGUUAUAAUCUGUGACUGAGGACCAGACUGCAUAGCGUCUAAGAACCAAAAGGUUGACAUGCUGGAAUAUAGAGGCUGAGGGGCCUCCACACCCCUACCAUUCACACCCUAGCACCUCAGUUUCCUCAUCUGUAAAUUGGUUUGUUUUAAGGACUUGGGGUGGUAUGUGUAGGUGCUGAGUACAGGCCUGACCGAUGGGAAGAGCCUGAUGGGUGUGAAGUGUUGCUGGUGUUAUUUCACCUGUGCCUAAGGCAGGCCUCACUGCAGCUCUUUAAUGUCGUGGGAACUGAUUCUGGAGAGCAUCAAGGUCUGAGAUUCUGAAGGUAUGAUUUGGGGUAAAUUGUGCAUCAAUUUCGUGAUCACUUAAAUGCAAGUGUCUGGAUGGCUGCUUCCCAGGAAAGUGGUGAGCCGUUGGUCAUUAAGUUGUUGGGAAAAUGACAGCUGAGUCCUGUGGCACUAACACACAGCCUAGUUUGGAUUGUAAGCUCAGGGAGGGCAGGGCUGGGAUGAUGUGUGGCCUUCCCUGGGGUGGUGUUCAUUCAAGGCCUGUGGAGUGACUCAGGAUGCACAUGUGGUAACUGGCGAGUAGGGGUGGCCUGAGGGUCCCGAGUGACCCUAGAUCCAAAGUAGCCCCAGAGUUCCUUCUUGGCAGGUCACAGGAGAGAGAGCUGUACUCAGGACAUCUUUUUGCACAUUGCAAAGGUGAUUUGCUCUCUUGGGAAGGAAUCUGGUCUCUUUAAUAUCCUUUGUGAAGAUGCAGAAACAUCUGCAGUGGAGACUGCUGGGAUUGCUCAUGAGAAAUUAGCCACAUCUCGGUGAAAAGAGCAAUUUAUCAGAGGACGUUCCUUCCAGUGACAGAGAACCUUUCAGAACUUGAUUGCACUUAAUGUACCAGCCUUUCCAAAGUAUUUUAUUCCACCCUCAAAUGAGAUAAUGAAGCCCUUUAAUUUACUGUUCAACUCCCAGACAGAGUGAGCUGGUCAGGCCCGAGGGGAUAGAAGGCUGGACCCAGGCUCAGGAGGCCCAGUGCACCUGGUGUGUCGUCAUGGCCUUCUCAGCCUGGAGCUGCCCAUCUCCUGUUGGGAGGUGGCAUGGAGCCCCAGGCAGCCCAGGGUAAAUCCCAGUCUUGCAGUUUCCUUCCUGUGUGUCCCCAAGCCAGUCACUUACUCUCUUGAAGCCUCGGUUUCAUCAUCUGUAGAAUGGGGAUGGAUGGUAACACUGGCGCGGCAGGGUUGUAGUAAUGAUUAGGGAUGAUAUGGCUAAGAGGGCAGUGCCUGGCACUGGGUAGAUGCUCAAUAAAUGACAAUUGUCAUUGGGUAGUGAAGUCGAGCCCUGAGACCUCAGAGGAAGUCAUUCUUGCUGCUGGUCCUGGGGAACGUUCACAUCCAUGGCUCUGCCCUGGAAUCACACCAUCAGCACCAAAUGAAACAGCCUUCAAGGCCUUCACCUCCUGCUUAUCCGCCUAUCCCAUCCUGACCAUUUCAGUGGAUCUCGCCCACCCAGACAAAUAGAUGAUGGAUGGAUAGCUGUAAAAACUCAGCCGUGGGCAGCGUCAGAGCCCAUGCUGGACCUUGCCCAAGCCUUCUCCAGCCUCUCGUUUGGACCUGGGAGCUCCUUGACCUCACCCACCCUAGUUCUCACGUACAUGAUGGUGCAAGCCCUGGGUACGUCUAAGGGGCCUCGUCAGAUUUGUGUUGAUCACAAUACUCUCCCCACAAAGCAGUCAAGUAAUUGCUCUUACGAUAUCAGUAUGUUAUGAUACUUUUCCAAGGAUGCAAGUAAAGCAUUCUGAGAAAGGGAUGUAUUUUCUAAUUUGCCCAGAGGUCAUUAUAGAUGAAUGGUUUACCCUUCUUUCCCCCCCUGCCCCAGUGGCCUUCCCCAGCUCAACCUCACACUCCCCUUACAGUAGGAUUCUGGCAUUUGUCCUCUGUUUCCUGCUCUGGCCCGGGGGGACCAGCCAGGACGCGCACUGUUGGUCUCAUCUCUGGCUGGCUUUCUGACCGGCUCUUGUCUCCAGCCCAGACUGAUUCCUGUCAACACCCCCUCCUCCCCUCACUCUGUAUACAUAGCUCUUCACCUGCUCCUGCUGCCUCCCUCCUGAUCAGCAUCCAGACUCACCCUGUGUCGGUACCUGUGGUGGCUGAUGAUGGCCCUUAAAGAUCCCUGGAACCUGCAAAUGGUGCCUUAUAUGGAAAAGGGGUCUUUGCAGAUGUGAUUAAGUUAAGGCUUUUGAGAUGGGGAGUUCACCCUGGAUUAUCCAGGUGGGUCCAAUGUAAUCACAGCAUCUUUACAAGAGAGAGACAGAGGGAUAUUCGACACAGGCAGGAGAAGGUGACAUGAACACAGAGGCAGAGAUUGGAGUGAUGUGCCUGCAAGCCAAGGAAUGCUGACCACCAUCAGAAUCCAGCCACCAGCAUUCUCCCCUGAGCUUCUGGAGGGAGCACAGCCUUGAUGACACCUUGAUUUCUGCCCAGUAAUACAGAUGUUGGAUUUCUGCCUUCCAGACCUGUGCGAGAAUAAAUUUCUGUUGCUUUAAGACCAAAUUGGUGGUCAUUUGUGACAGCAGCCAUGGGAAACUAGAUCAGUGUUCAUCCUCUCUGGGGAGAUCCUUUGCCCGGUCCAGCUUAGCUCUAGGCCCUGACUCUGUUUUGGUCCCCAUGGUCCUGGCCCUGAAGGGAGCUCCCUAGCUCUUCGGAUGGGCCUGGACACUUGAUGCCGCAGUGCCAGAUCCCACUCCUGACAGGGGCUUUGGGGACCUUAGAAUCAGCUGCAUAGGUGUUAUCUGCUGGCGAUCAACCCCAGGACCCACUGGGUGGUAGGCCCUCCAAGAGAACCUUAAGCUUAUCCCUCCUCCCCUGUGGAAUAAUCAAGGCUCAUUAUAGGUGGGGAGCAGAUCAGACAGUUCAGAAGAGCAUUGGCUGAGGUCCUACCUUGUGCGAACUAUAUGAUGGGUGCUUGAUAUA